Molecule: long non-coding RNA, 552 nt
Organism: Homo sapiens (human)
Lineage: Eukaryota; Metazoa; Chordata; Mammalia; Primates; Hominidae
Exons: 2
Source: RefSeq, a predicted model, not a curated record
GCUUCUCUAGUGGUGCUGAAAUGAGGUGAUGAUUCCACAAAAACUCAACUAGCAACCAGAGUAUCUUUAUACAUCUCCUGCAUUCAUUGCAAGAAGAAUGGAUUUCAACUCUCAGGGAGGCAGAGUCAUACCUGAAGAUUUAACUGACAUGAGGUGGACACAGCCUCCUUCCCACCACCCUCCAGUGACAGUCCUGUUCCAGCCUAGCUUCAGUGGACAAAGCAUCCAGUCACAACAUGUGCAACCACUGUAUGCCACAAGGAUGCUUCCUUGUGCUGUGGAGGAUACAACAAAGCUUGUUUCUUUUGGAAGCGAGCCACUAUGUUGCACAGAAGCUCAGGCUGGACAACAGGAUAAUGAGAGGCCAGAUAGAGGGAGGUCUACACAAUGAGACCAUCUUGGACAUCUUGGACAUUCCAGCCACAAUAGAUCUCCCAGCUGGAUGUAGUUACCAGAGUGAUCUCAGCUACACUAUGGGGAACAAAAGACCUACUGAGCUGCUCCUAGCAAACCCAUGGAAUUGUGACAAAAAAUAAAUCAUUGUUGUUUGCA